UCUCAAAACAGAGAACCACAGUUUCUAAAAAUCUAUUACAAGAUAUGACCAACUAUAACGAUAUGGAUGAGUUUUGUUUUCUUCUCAUAGCAUAGCUCAAUCUUUGCUAAUCUUCAGACGAGGAAGAUCUUAAGGCCACCCUUGAUUCUCUCACGAAGGGAAGUGUUAUUACCAUGAGAGACUGUAACAUGAAUGACUUUUCUUAUGCUAAUCUUCAAGGUGAUGAAGAUGAUGUUUCUUUGCGUAAAUCAGCAACAAAUUCGAUUCAGAAAGUUUCGAUGUUACCACUCGUUUUCCUCAUAUUCUACGAAGUGUCAGGAGGUCCUCUUGGUGCUGAAGGCUGAAGCUAGUGUGAAUGCAGCAGGACCACUGUUAGCUUUUUCAGUGUUUAUCAUCUUCCCUUUCGUUUGGUGUAUUACUGAGGCACUGAUCACUGCUGAGAUGAGCACAAUGUUCCCUAUAGAUGGAGGCUUUGUGGUUUGGGUCUCUCGUCUGCUUUAGGACCCUUUUGAGGGUUUCAAGUAGGUUGGAUGAAAUGGCUUAGCGGGGUUAUAAAUGGAAUGGUUUUGGAGUUUACAGCAUUUGUUAGGACGAGGCUGAUAUAUAUCCGGAUGCAUCGAGACCGUACAAGAUACAGAACCCUUGGUUCGGUUAUGAUAUGUGUUCCUCCCAUAGUACUGAUAUGUUUCGUCGUUGUUCUAUUGGCUUUAGUGAGCUUUGUGAUGGUAGUCAUCGGUUUGUUGAUGAGAGACCUAGUCUAAACCAUCUCGAUGGAAAGAGAAUGGUCAAAUUCUCUCAAUCAGUGUUAUGCGCGAGUGUUUUAAGCAGGACAAUUCGGAUUUUGAAGAAUCUUUCAUACGUUAGGAGUAAAAGCUUGGAAUCCAUUGCCAUAUAAAUUGUAGUAUAUUGUUAUAAAAUAACAGAUGGAUGCACGUCACGUUAUAAGGUCCAUCUUCUAGAAUUACUUUGUCAUCAAGCAAAACUCUCUUGUACUCCUAUAUAAAAGACCAAAAGACCUUUCAUUCAUGGGAAUAAAACACCCAUAUCUUCCUUCUCUUUUAUCUAUCUAUCUAUCUAUCUAUCUAUAUAACAUAUAGAGUCAAUCUUGUGCUAGUUUUGUAGAGAGAAGAAAAAAAUGAAUGGAGUUUCUCGUCAUCUUCGAGCUUCAUCACUUCCUUAAGGUUGAUUCGCGGCUAUGGUGGUGGAAUCAAUUCUGUCCGUCGAUUUUCAUCUCAAUCUGAUGGCUUCUCUGGGGGAAGAUUCAGAGAGCAAGGGCCAUUUUCUGGAGACUGAAAAUAACAACAACUCAGGCAUACCACCAAACAGUUCCUCUUCGCCUUUGAGAUCUUUCAGUGAUUUGAAAGCAUCCUUACGAGCAAACGGUUUCUCCUACCUAUAAAUAUCUAGGUUUCUCAAACACGGGAGGAAGCAGAUUCUCAGCUCCUAGUCCAUCUACCUACGAGAAAUAUUCACUCAAUCUCCGCUUCUCAAGGAGAAUUCUCCAAGCAAAAAGAAGUCAAGCGACCUGGAGAACCUCAGGGAUAUCCGAUAGUGUACAUCGAGGACACCACUGGGAAAGCUCAUAAUGGUUGCAGGUCACCAAGGAAACGUCGGGUGUGAAAAAUAAACGUGUGGCAUGCAUGAACCAAUGGGAUUCGAUUUAUAUUCCUCUAUGGUCACUGCGGAAACCAUUUUGUUUUGCAAAUUUGUCUCUUUUGUUUCUCGUUUACGAUCCGAAGAAAAUCGGGUAUGAUGAACCAAUGGGAUUUGAUUUAUAAACACCUGAACUUGGUUCUAUAUUCUCUUCCACGUUCUUUUGAGAUUUUUGAACCAAAGGGUUUUGAUAACUAAACCUGAACUUGGUUAACCGUGAUCCGGUUUUUCCCGUUUUGACACAAUACAAAUGUCUAAACAAAAAGAUCACAAGAAUCAGCCAGACCCAAUUGAAUAUAUCUAAACCUAAUAUUUUAAAUUGUGAAAUCUUUGUCUCAAAAUUUUAAACUUUGGUUGCAUUCAUAAGAUUUAGACUACUACAGACCGAUUCUUGGUUCGGUUCGGGUAAAACCUGAAGACCUAGUGGUAUCCAAAAACACCUAAAAGGCCUAAUCUACCACAAAAGUACCAAAC
This is a non-coding RNA of Camelina sativa (false flax), 2127 nucleotides long. The record is from RefSeq and is a predicted model, not a curated record. NCBI's taxonomy places the organism in Eukaryota, Viridiplantae, Streptophyta, Magnoliopsida, Brassicales, Brassicaceae.